RNAcentral lists this ribosomal RNA (440 nucleotides) under uncultured bacterium. RNAcentral describes it as "partial 16S ribosomal RNA". It matches the Rfam family "Bacterial small subunit ribosomal RNA", at positions 338 to 795 of the family's 1533-position model. The record is from RNAcentral.
CCUACGGGAGGCAGCAGUAGGGAAUAUUGCUCAAUGGGGGAAACCCUGAAGCAGCAACGCCGCGUGGAGGAUGAAGGUUUUCGGAUUGUAAACUCCUUUUGUUAGGGAAGAUAAUGACGGUAUCUAACGAAUAAGCACCGGAUAACUCCGUGCCAGCAGCUGCGGUCAUACGGAGGGGGCAAGAGUUAUUCAGAAUCACUGGGCGUAAAGAGGGCGGAGGCGGGAUAGCAAGUCAGAUGUGAAAUCCUAUGGCCUAACCAUAGAACUGCAUGUGAAACUGUUAUUCUUGAGUAUGGGAGAGGUAGGUGGAAUUCUUGGUGUAGGGGUGAAAUCCGUAGAGAUCAAGAGGAAUACUCAUUGCGAAGGCGACCUGCUAGAACAUAACUGACGCUGAUGCGCGAAAGCGUGGGGAGCAAACAGGAUUAGAUACCCCGGUAGUC